RNA transcript from Cuculus canorus (common cuckoo), 7421 nucleotides. It is a transcript of the gene named zinc finger and BTB domain-containing protein 18.2, with no coding region annotated. NCBI's taxonomy places the organism in Eukaryota, Metazoa, Chordata, Aves, Cuculiformes, Cuculidae. The record is from RefSeq and is a predicted model, not a curated record. The transcript has 4 exons.
CACACACACACACACACACGCAGAGGGCUCGGAGAAAGGAAAGUAUCGCGAGAGCGGCCGGCGAACAACCUGCUCCGCCGCGGAGCGCCGCGCACAUGCGGAGCCUCAGCCCCGCCGCUCGCCGGUUAUGAAGGAAGAAUGGAGUUUCCAGACCAUAGCCGCCAGUUGCUGCAGUGUCUGAGUCAGCAGCGUCACCAGGGCUUCCUGUGUGACUGUACUGUUUUAGUUGGAGAAGCUCAAUUCAGAGCUCACAGAGCCGUUCUUGCCUCUUGCAGUAUGUACUUCCAUCUUUUCUACAGGGACCAGUUAGACAAAAGGGAUAUUGUGCAUCUGAACAGUGACAUUGUCACAGCCCCUGCCUUCAGCCUGCUGCUCGAAUUCAUGUACGAGGGAAAGCUGGAAUUCAACAGUCUCCCGGUGGAAGAUGUGCUGGCUGCGGCUAGCUACCUUCACAUGUAUGACAUUGUCAAAGUCUGCAAGGGCAAGUUGAAAGAUAAAGAAUUAUGUUCGGAAGAGAAGAUUAACGAUGAGGCGGCUAGUUUGGAGAAAGCGGAGCAUUUUCUAGACGCCGGAGUGCCCCUGGUCCACGAGUUUGACCCAGGAAACAAACAAAAAUUCAGCGUUGCAGAAUAUGAGAGAGCGGCAGGCAAAGAAAAGGUCAGCAGUCACCCCGCCUGGUCCUCUGAUCAUAUAAGUGUCAGCUCUGCGCCGACAGAGGCAGAACCGUGUGCCGCAGCAGCUGGAAAAACAAAGGCUAAUGUCAAUAGUUCCACAGGACCUUUGUCCCAAAGGUCUGUUAACCAUCCCCUGGCUUCGAGUGAUGUGGACUGUGCGCUGGAUUUGUCUUUCAAGCCCGUGCCGGGGAGAGAUUCCUUACACCCCUCCUAUGUCUUUGGACAGCUGGCCUCCGACAGCCAGCAGCAGGGUACCGAGCCACUUGUUAAAGAUGAACAAGACUUGCUGUCAGAUCAGGAGGAUGGCGAAGCCAGGAGUCCGGAGAGUCAGCAUUUUGGGAAUUCAGCCAAAAGCCUAGUGACAGGGUUAGGACACAUGUUCGCGGGGAAUGGCAGCUCUCAUGCCCGAGAGGAGGAUAUAGAUCAAGAGCGAGACGAGAGCGAGGAUGACAUGGAUUCAUCGGACAUCUCCUCAGGUGUCCUCGUGCCUCCCGGGCAUAUCUGCAUUUGCCCCCUCUGUAGCAAGGUGUUUCCGAGCCCGCACAUCCUUCAGCUGCAUCUGAGCUCUCAUUUCCGUGACAAGGACGGCUCCCGGACCCGCUUGUCCCCUGACGGGUCGGUCCCCACGUGUACCCUCUGCGGAAAGACUUUUUCUUGCAUGUACACAUUAAAGAGGCACGAGAGGACUCACUCGGGGGAGAAGCCCUACACCUGCGGCCAGUGUGGAAAGAGCUUCCAGUAUUCCCACAACCUCAGCCGCCACGCUGUGGUGCACACCAGGGAGAAACCUCACGGGUGCAAGUGGUGCGAGAGACGGUUCACGCAAUCCGGGGACUUGUACAGACAUAUCCGCAAAUUUCACUGUGGCCUUGUGAAGUCUUUGGUUGUUUGAGAUGUGGGGGGUUUUUGUUGGGUUGGUUUUUUUUUUGGUGUUUGUUCUUUUUAUCCCCCUCCUUUAAAACAAAACAGGAAGAAAAGGCGGCAUCUGAAUUAUAAUCCCUCCCCUCCUUUAUUUUAUUUUGGUGAUAUUCACUUCAGGUGUAUGGUCUUUAAAAGAUGCAGAGGUAUACACUCCAGAGGCCUUUUAAUACAAUCCUUCCACCUCUCCACCUCCCCCUUCCCCUGCUACCCUCCCUUCCCAGCACUGUCCUUUAGGUCUUCUCUUGCGCACCCAUGUUACAUUAUUAAUGUGAAAUGAUCUGAGUAAUCUUGCAAUGAUUUAGCAUCUGUUUUCAUGCUGGAAGUACUUGCUUCGUGGUCAGGAAGGGUUUUUAAUUUUGAUGUGUCUUUUUUUUUUUUAGUUUGAAAAACAGAUUAUCAGCAAAUUCUGGGGAAAAAUUUGGAUUCCAUUAAGCUUCUCUAAUGCUCUCUGUGUGUUGCAUAGAAACAUCUGAAGAGAUGAACUGUGAUUUAAACACAUUUUCAGUGUAGAGAAACUUGUCUGCGUGUUGUGGAGGCCACGUGGAAUUUUAGGCAUGUGAGGAGCAGCCGUAUCUCAGUCAGAGCCUGACUGAGCAUUUCCUUAGUCACUGGGCGAGACUAAAACCAGCGCCACUUCUGCAUUUGAACCAGAGUACCAGCGGGGUUUAAAUGGGCUCAACUCUCCCUCCCAUGCCCUGAGUGAGCUUUGGAGCAGCCCUGCCCUGCAUGGUGCUGCUCCCCAGCUGCAGGCGGAUGCUGGAGUGAUGGAUGCUGCAGUGAUGCAGUGUGCAUGGGCAGCCCAGCAAAAGGCACCGGUGCCUCCCAGCAUCCAAACACCACGCGGCUGGACAGGAGCAACGUCAGCCAGCUCACUUGAAAAGGUUCUCUUAAGUGCCAAAUCUCUCCGAAAUUUGGGAGAGCAGAGGUCUGAUACAACUCCUGCAAACGUCCACCUUAAAACUUGGAUCGACUUUGGCAGGAGUUGGAAUUAGGCAGCUCACACUUUCUUCCACCUGUGCCAGCUGCUGCUCCAGGGAGGAAAAUAAGCUGGACUGGCACGGUUCACACCGUGGUCUUGGCAGCCAUCGCACAAGCCCUGACACCUUGUUCUGCAGAGACACCUUUCUGGGUGGGAGGAGGAUGCUGAACGCCUGGCUGGCCGCCAGCUAGCGUUGAACCGCCACGCAAAUUGCAGUGUAGCUGCAAAAAACUGAGAUCGCCCACUCCUAGCAGUCUGUGCCAUCGGCUGUCUGGCAGGAUUGAUGGUUGUCACUACCGAACGCUGCUGAGAUGGAGCCAAAAUCAAAUGAGUGGAUGUCCUCGUGAGCCUGCUUGGGGAAAAAAAAAAAAGCUUCAAAAACCUAAGAACUUGUUUUCAGUUUAGAAACUAAACUAAAGAGGCUUGUUCUACUUUAUGAUUGCUUAGCUGAGAAGCGCUGGGAAACAUUCCUGCUGCAUGUGAAAUUGGAAGGUCACAGGUUUUCAGCUGUCUCUCCUUGGUACUAUUUUGGGGUGGAGGAGGCUCUGGCAGGAAGGAGGAAGCAUCUCUUCUCAUGCUAAACUGUGCCUGGGACCAGGAGGGACGAUUAACUGUGGCCAGCCCUGAUCUUAACAGCUGUGGUGUAACACUGGUUGUGGCAACAGGGAGCAGGCUGACUUCCUUUAACAUUUUCCCCUAUUCCCACAAGGACAACCAGGCCUAGGCAUGCUCUAGGUCAUGAUCUCGGUGACGGCUGAUGCGUGAUGGCAGUGAAGUAACUGGUUGUAAAUCUGCUAGGUAAAUCAUAGAAUAGUUUGAGUUGGAAGGAACCUUUAAAAGUCAUCCAGUCCAUCUCUCCUGCGAUGAGCAGGGAGGGGUUCAACUAGAUCAGAUUGCUCACAACCUCAUCCAAUCCGACCUUGAAUGUUUCCAGGAUAAAAAGUGGGGACUAUGUUUCCGAGAUAUGAGUGAGUGGUACACCCAAAGGGUUUCCGCAGAAUUCUGGUAGGAAUAUGGUACUAGAUUCUGGUUUGGCUGUAACGGCUGAAUUGAGCUAGAUCUACACCAGCAAAGCAGAAACCUGUAGUCCUGGCAUGGGGUCUGCUCACCAUUCAGUCUCUAAAUCGUUCACAAAACAAACAAGAAGUAUCUGGACCAAUGUAUCCUGAAGGAUGAGAACAACCAGGAGAAUGGUAUGCAUUAAUCUCUGCUCCUUCACCUCUUGAAAUAGGGACAAAAGGAAGGGAAGCAAGCCAGAAAGGAAGGAUGUAUGCUUCCUUUCCUCCUCUACACUGAAAAAAAAAAGGUGUUUAUUCUUCUGCCUGCUUCCUCUUUCCUUCCCUCAUGUCCGUACUGUGGUAAGACACAGAGAAUAAAAACUGUUUUCCUUGACCAUGUGUGUCAAGUCCCUCUCCUGGGAUAGCGGUGCUGUGGUGCUGCUGCUCCCUGGGCUGGGGGGCGGCUGUGGCUGGUCCUGCCUCUCCCAUUAUUCCCAUUGGUACUGGUAAUUUAUUUUAGCAGGACAGAUCUGAACUAUCCAAGCUAAUUCCAUGCACCCUGCUAGAAAAAUAGUGCAACAUAUUCUUGAGCUAUAUCAGCAGAUGUGACGCUGAAGGGUGUCUUUGAGCCUGCCUGAGCUGAAGAAAGGCCUCCUGUCUGGUGACGUGGCUUCUCCAGGAUGCAUCCUUAUGUUUUCUUCUAGUGUGAUUUGAGGGGGCUGAUCCUGGCAGAGAAGGCAUUGCUGUGCUGAUAUCCUAGUGCCUGCAGAAGGGACCAAUGAGGGGACGAGGACAUGCUUCUUUUUGUGACAUGAGCAGCACCUAUGUUGCUCAUUCCUGAGGCGGCACCAGCUCGCAGAGCUAAAAUGAAUGGUAUUUACUGGCUUGGCAGGUAGAAAGACCAUAGCUAUGCAUCCUGCAGAAAUGAGUGUAAUCUCAACAAGAUGCCGAGCACCACCUGCGUGGUCCUGCCUGGUGCAAAAUGAGUGGAGAAAUCAGCCAGAAGGAUGCAAUGGCAGCAGCAAGGCAGGGACCAUGUCCCGUGCCCUGUAGCCCAGCAUUUCUUCAGGGUCAUACCCUCUGAGUGAUUAAUCCCUCCCCACUGCCCCAAGUGGGGAGGUGAAGCUAUCCUCUACUUCAAGAGCAUCCACUCAGCCAGCAAUCUCUGCUCUUCAGAUGGGCUAUAAAUAUUUACACGAGGAAGCACAGGAACACUGUUCUGAGCUAACACCAUGAUUUAUAAACCUAAAUUACCCACAUUAGUCGAGAUCUCAGUUUGGAGCUUACCUAUAGAGUGUGUUUGAGACAAAUGCUUCCUACCGCCUUGAGCAGGUGCUUCCUCUUUGUGUUGCCUUCAGGAAGGAUGCUCUCCUUGAGCUGCCUCCUUCCCGACUGCUGUCCCAGCUCCAGAGCAGCUUUGCAACCUCAUGACCACCUUCAGCCAGGAAGAUCCUUUCUUCACUUCUCUGCAAUAGAGAAAACCAGGUUUGAGCAUUAUGUCUAUCAUAUGCAGGAACUGCAGAAUAUGUCUAUCUAAUGCAGGAACACGGAGCAUUUACUGGCCACUUGUUUGUAUCCUGUCAAAGAUGACAUUUUGUUUGGUUCCUUCUCCCUUUACCCUGUUAGUUUGGAUAGUAUCUUUAUAUUAAGCAGCGAAAGAGAAGAAUGAAGAUUUAAACUCAUUUAACCUUGAACAUAGCCAUUAGUUAAGCAAUUAAAAUUAAAGGGUGAGUUAAUGGGCAGUGUCAAACAUUCGGAGAAACAUCUGUUGUAAUAGAAGUCUGCCUUUUAGCUGAUGAAUAAUUGAUCUGCUGUUUGUUAGCACCUAAGUCCAGACAAGGCAGCAGCACUAGCACUGCUGGGGCAUCUCCAGAGCUUGCUUGCCAGCCACAGGCUCCAGGAGAGCAGGAGAACUUGGUACCACCACUUUAAGGUACUUUAGGAAAAUCACAUGCUUUGUACCCCAUUGAAUGAGGUCAUUCCUGUUGAGUCUUUUGCAUUCCUUGGAUCAGUCAUGUUACUUCAGGUCUAGAGGAAUCAAUGGUCUAUUUUUAUGUCUUCAUUUCUUCAUUAAUUUAUGUGUGGAUGCAUGUGGUGUCUAUUUGGACGCCAAUAACCAGAGAUGUAAAUGAGUCAAAAGGCUUUGAAUGGUAUCACUGAGCUAAAUUAACUUGCUUUUGGGCAAGCAGCAGAUGUGAAUGAACGCCUUCAUUAAUGUAUUGAAGGCAAUACAGUAAAUAUUGACCUGAGUUUGAGGGGUAGAUAGCAGAAAGCAUUUGUCUUUUGACAGUGGUAGAGCCAAUAAUACUGAAGUCACUUCUGCAAUACUGCCAUCUCCCAUAGAAAGCCCCUUCUCCCUUGAAUAACAAACAUCAAAAGACACUUGGUUGAAAUCUUAGGUCCUACGAAAUGAAGGAGUACGAUGCUAUUCUCAUCAGGAUGACGGAUAUUGCCCUGCAGUGCCUGGUCCUGCAGACCCGCCUGGGAAGUGCUUCCAUUCUGCGCAGAAAGUAGUGAUGGAGGAGGAGAAGAUGUCAUGAAUGCGCUCCCUGCAUGAGUCGGGGUUUGGCCAAAGUGGGCUCCACUUGGGGUUGGAAGUGGUGUGGGAUGACAGAGCAGAGUCUGGUCCCUGUGCUGAGCUCCUCCACGUAUUCCACUGCUGAGGCCGGGGCCAGGAGAAUUGCCGGAGUGACUCCAAAACCAAAUUGAGGACAUGAAACAUUUGUCGCGUGGGAUGUGGGAGAAGGAAACCCAAGUAAUGAAAGAUUCUUGAUGUACUGUUUUGCAUAUUGCCUCUUAAUCCCUGUGUGUGUGCAAAGCUGCAACAAACUCAAAUAAACCAAAUGCAGUUUCUUGCUCCAGCACAGAAGGGACAGCUGGUUAUUAGCAGGUCAAGAUAAGCCCCUCGCCCAGUUAUUGGGGUGUCAUAAGCACAGACCUCUCUUUAGAAAGAAGCUAGGAAAAAGCAGUGGGAACGAAGCAGAAAAUGCAAAAGGAGAAUAAUUUUGAAGGUAUCUCAUAGGCAAAUGUUGACAGAAUGUGGGUUCUUCCCUCAUCCUCAAGGUGAGUCUGGUCAAGUUUGUAGCCUUUGAGGCACAAGGUAAUAAUAUCCAUUUGGCUAUUUGUUAGAGAGAAAGGUAGCAAAAUCAGCUCCAGAUUCCUAAAGAAACAACCACUUGCAUUAGUAUUUGGUUUUCAUAUACCCAUCACUCUUCUUUUUUUCUCCAGACUGUCUGCAAAACUUGGAUUAAUGCAACAGUUCAGGUUUUGUUUAAAAUCAUGUUAAUCUGUACUCACAUCAUAAGCAUAAAGAAAGGGAAAUAAACUGAGAUGGGAAAAUUAUCUGUGUGUCUUCAGCUGGAUUUAGCUUAAAACAAGCAGAACCUGUAGUUGAGUUUCUCUCCAUAUUCCUCCCUCUGUAUGCCCAGGUUGCCUUAGCAUCUGCCUGCACUUCUGCUGCUGCUUCAAUUUCUUCCUUUGCUUCUUUAGACUGUGUGCUCUCAACAGUGUUUCCCACCCCAGUUACGAACUGUCCUAUUGUUGGUGACCUUCUCCAAAAAGGGAAGGUGGUCAAAGGCAGCUAAAGGACAAGUGAGGAGGACAAAGAAAGACAAACUGACGAACCUUAGAAGAGGGAAAGACCCUUGACUGGGCCUUGCACGUGAGCAAUAACGAGCAGGACUUCCAUGAUUUAAGGGGGGAGUUGAGCCCGACUCCUGGCAUGUACUGGCCCUACGUGGCAGGACGCAGAUCUGUAUCAAUAACCCUGAAAUUUGUGGUGUGGUGUGGCAACAAACCACAACCAACGUUGUCAUUGCAGGGACACCUACUAAGCUUUGUGCCUGACCG